Vespa mandarinia (Asian giant hornet) is the source of this 1920-nucleotide long non-coding RNA. The record is from RefSeq and is a predicted model, not a curated record. NCBI's taxonomy places the organism in Eukaryota, Metazoa, Arthropoda, Insecta, Hymenoptera, Vespidae.
AUCAUGAAAUAUACGUUCAUAUAUGUAUACAUAUAUUGACUUUUCCAAAUGUUUAAUCUCAGAUGGUUAAUAACACUAACGGAUUAGAUUACAUAAGAGACAAUAUUCAUUAUAUGAUUGAUUCAAUUCAUACAUUUAACAUUAUCUGUAUUUCUUACUGGUAAGUGGGAUCAGUUCUAAUUGCAAGUUUAAUCGUCUUUUUUUACUCUUCAAGGAAAGUAAAUUUCUCGUUUAGAGAACUGAAAAAUAAUCAAUCAGGAGAAUGAUCGUCGUUUCAGUAUAUAUUAGAAAGAAAGUGACAAAGCUAAUGAUGUUAUCAAUUCAAUGAACAGGUGAAAGAUUGCAUGAUAAAAUUAAUUGGUCUUGUGAAGAUUAUAAAAAUCUUAGAUGCAAUCGUGGGAAAGAUAUAUUUUGGAAAAAUAUGUGUUUUAUUACAAAUUAUACUGCAGGAAAAUUUUCAAAGAUGAAAAAUUCUUUGAAAUUCAAUGAUAAAGUAUUUAAUUAACUAUUAAUUAACUGCUAUGGAUUUUUACUUCAAUUAGGCAGAACAUACUUUUUGGUUAUUGUAUGGAUAAAUCACAUUACGAACCAAAAUUUUAGGUCUGCCAAUUAAGGAUGAAAAUAGGAGGACAAUGCUUUGUCUAUUUAUGUUAAUAGAAAGAUCAUUGUUGAAAGAAGAAUAAAUUUGAAUGGUGGUCAACGUGCCCAUAUCUAUCUUACUACGACAAUAUCUAUGCUGCUGCAGAGACUGAAUCACUUUCGGCGAUAUACACUCGAGAAGAUAAAUAUAUUAUCGAGCAGUCCAUACAUGAAUGAAAAAUAAGACAAUAAUCUCAAUGGCCCAUCUGUUGCAAUUUCUAAAACGUGUCAAACAGAUUCAAGCAAAGCUGAUUUAAUAAUCUCAAUGCUUUUGACGUUGAUUUCACCUACUUUAUAAUGGAAAAGAACGAAGAAUCUUUUUACAAAAGGAAGAUCGAAGAAUCAAGAGAUUAAUAACUAUAAUAACAAUGGUAGGAAGCGUAAACCGAAGUAUUGAGUUCUUUGAGAUUUUUAUGUGGUAUUCGGUUAAACGAUUGGAAGGAAUAAUUCGAUUCUGGGUAACCGGUCAUGUAAAACGUUUCAAGAUUUACCGACGAUUAAAGCAUUAAACGCUGAGACGAAUUCAACAAACAAAGAAAAGAUCUUCAUUCAUCUACCUGCUUGAUCUUUAUUUGGACUUCACAAGUUUUCAGCAUUUACGUCGUAUUAGUCUGUUUAGUUUAAAACGCGAUCAUAAUUACUUCAUUUCUCAUUUGAAAGGAUAUCAUUAUUAAUGAUAUUAGAUUAAUGACCGAGUAAAUGACUAUACUCGUGGACCUGAUACGAAAGGAUGUAAGCAGACGGUCAAGGUAAAAAAUCUAAUUUCGACCUCGGUUGAAAGAAUUAUUGAAUAAAUCUAUUUAGAAGAAGAUUCAAUAUUGACUACCACUGUACUGAAAGAUUCAUAAAAUUAUAGUCUUAUCGAAAAGAUCUAAAGAUGUGAAAGUAAAGAUGGAUACAUAGAUUUGGAAGAAUAUAACGUUCACGAUCAUUUCAACAGAGAAGAUUGUUAUCGUUGUAGAUAUUGAUUGAGAGAAAAGUAUAAAAUAACAAAAAGAGAAAGGAGGGACUUGUAGAUAAGAUUAGCAUAUCGAUAUCAUGAUAAUAAUGUAACGUAAUCGUCAACGAUUGCCAUAGAUCAUAUUGAAUAGUUUUCCUUAAAGACCAGUUGUCUCUAUUAAGUGGACUAGACGUUCCACGCAUUGUGUUGAAACAUUGAAAUAAUUCAUCAUACUUGAAAUUAAUAUAACAUCUAAAUUAACAAUUUUCAGACAUAACAUUAUUAACAUGCUUUAUAGAGGGUCAAAAAUUGGAUAUUAAUAUUUUGUUGGAUAAUUAUUG